This 280-nucleotide long non-coding RNA is filed under the name Linum usitatissimum (flax). Its description in RNAcentral is "long non-coding RNA (LUSI_LNC006742)". The record is from RNAcentral. Lineage: Eukaryota; Viridiplantae; Streptophyta; Magnoliopsida; Malpighiales; Linaceae.
CUCAAGAUAUUUUCAUGAUCAAGGAAAGCAUCAUUAGAGAGCACGCAAUUCUAAAGUCAGAUUGGACCUUAACUUUACGUCUUUACAAAUCACCAACUUUCGAGCAAGUCGCAACCUAUAAUAGCACGUAUUUCAUAGAGGGUGAUGGAGGAACACUCAAAAUUAAUUAGCCGUAGAAACUUUGACAAAGCAGCGUCUAUAAUAUCCGAUGACACCAUCAACCGCCGCACAACGUAGGUUGGAGUAGAGCAACCCAUCGACGACAGUAUACUAACCCUCC